This is a long non-coding RNA of Triticum urartu, 2049 nucleotides long. RefSeq lists it as uncharacterized. Lineage: Eukaryota; Viridiplantae; Streptophyta; Magnoliopsida; Poales; Poaceae. The record is from RefSeq and is a predicted model, not a curated record.
AGUAAACAACGUUUCAUGGGUAUAGCCAAAAAAACAUGAGUCGGACGCCUGCCUACCCGCUCGCCCGUCCCCACGCCCCAAUCCCUUUUUUGGCCCAAUCGAAAUUGACGGCGGCCGCCGCACCGCUCGCCACCGCCGCUGAUGCCAACCUCCCACAAGUCACUGUUGUUUCCUCCUAUGGCGCGCCGCUCCCGACCAAUCCGGCGAGGCCUGCGUGCCACCUCCCGACUCUUCCCUUCCCUGGUCUGGAGCACAAGCCUCCUUUCCCUCCACCCCGAUCUGGCAGUAGCGGCAGGAGCUAGGCCACCGGCGACGAGGCUAAUUUGUCCGGCAGUAGCUGUUGUUAUUCCACAACCAAUUAUACUUCUACUCCAUCCCAUGGACUGGCCUGACUGUGGCUGGUAGGAGGGAGGCGUGCGGUCAUGACCCUGGCGCGCUGGGCCGGGGUCUAACUGGGCGGGCGUGUGUUAUCGCUGCCAGGCAACUAUACGGGCGUCGCAGGGCGUGUUGCAGCUUCAGGAUUCUGCUAGGAGCUCCUGGGAUGUGCUCAUGCAUGCUUGGUUGGAACCUUGUCUUUUUGGUCAAUGGAUGAAUCAAUGGCGUGUCAGGACUAACUAGGUCAUACGUGCACCUCACUAUCUACGGAUGGCUCUCUCGUCGUAUCUGCACAACAUGAGAACAAUUUGAUCAAUGAAGAUGGGUUUCUUUCCUACCGGUGCCAUUGUAUGUGCCUGCACGCCUCAACUAUCUUCUUUCCUGUUUACUGUCAGCAGGGGAACUAUUUGUGGAUGUAAUAUGCAGCUAAAGGUAUUCCAGCAUGAGCUUGCAUGCGCAACAACAGUGAUUAAAGUAAAGGCUUCAGGACUUGAGGUAAAGUACGCCCAUAGCUCAACCUGAUUCUCUUAGUACAGAACUACAGAUAACCUGAUUCUCUCAGUACAUAUAACUUGAUUAUUAUCUUUCCAUCGAGCAACAAUGGAGUAGCACUACUCACAACCAACUGCAGAAAUCCCAUGUGCCAAAAAUCCCGUGUGCCAAAAACCUCGUUGCAACUGGAGAUCCGCAUGCGCUGCUGGACAUGCUAUGCUACUCGAUUUGACCCAAUCUACUUCAGCCGUGACUCCGUGAUUGAUUUUAGUGGUGCACUGGGAGGAGACAAACAAGAGAGCAAAAGCACAAUAAGAAAAGCGAUGUUAUGAGGAAAACAGAAAGGAAAUAAACAAAAAAAUUGAUCCCCUGAGUAUGUAUAUGAGAGAUAUAUGUACGUCUGGGUUGUGCUGCUGACUCAGGAGAAGUUCAGUGAUCUAGGUCAAGGUGAUUUAUAGUUGAUAAAUUUGGUACCCAAAGCACUGACAUGAUCAGCGCACUGGCUGUCCUGAUUGCCAUAGAACAUGUGCAUUAAAGUUACUCCAAUUGCAGUGCACGACUCUUUGAGAAAAACCAUAAGCAAUUGAGUUCUUCAUCUGUAGUCAUGCCGAAUUAGUGUGAAAUAUACAAACUUUUUCAAUAUUAUUUUGCAGCUGUACCAUUGAUUAUUUGUUAAUGUGCCUUUUUGCAGUGGAAACAGUCUUUGAAACAAGCAGCAUACGAUUGCUACAACCCAAUUAUCUUAGAUUCUACCUUUGUCUGAUGUUCUUAACCUUUAUAUUCUUCCUAGAUUCUACCUUUGUCUGAUGUUCUUAACCUUUAUAUGCUUCCUUACAGAGAAAUCCUUGGAACUUGAGAAGCCAAGGUAUGGUGAGAGCAGAUGAUUAUUACUUCGCUUUGGCCCAGCAUCGUCUUUACGUAUCAAUAUUAGAGCGUUGUGUUAUUCCAUCAUGUUACAUUACUAUUGCAUUCAUAUUUUUGUGAGUAGCUACCCCUUUCUAUAGUUUUACCAUUUUUUUAUCCAUGCAUUUUGACGUAUUAAUUUUUUGGGUGAUGCACUACAUGUUAUGUUAUUUCUAUGCCUAAGUGCUACAUUAAAAAUGUCGCAAGAUUUGAUGGUAUGUAAUAUAAAUUACCUUCGUGAUAUUCAUUAUUAAUUGUAUGAAAUUAUAUAGAGGAACA